AAACUCUAGUUAUGUGCAGUCAAUGACCAAGACAGAGCAUCACAUCUUAUAUGAAGAGAUACUAGUACUCAUUCUGGAGCCAUAUAUGUUUCAACCUCCAGAACAAAAUCAGAUAGCCACUUGAUGAUACACAUAAAAUAUUAGCAGUCUCUCCAAUCUCCAGAAACACAAGGAUUAAUUGAUUUUAUAUCCAAGUAUGACAAAGUAAUACUGGCAUCAAAAUAUGUAAUCUCAAUUCUCAACAUUAACUUCAAACAUCUCCAUAG
RNAcentral lists this long non-coding RNA (266 nucleotides) under Solanum tuberosum (potato). RNAcentral's name for it is "long non-coding RNA (STUB_LNC002607)". Lineage: Eukaryota; Viridiplantae; Streptophyta; Magnoliopsida; Solanales; Solanaceae. The record is from RNAcentral.